UCCCUGGUGGCUCAGAUGGUAAAGCAUCUGCCUACAAUGCAGGAGACCUGGGUUUGAUCCCUGGGUCGGGAA
RNAcentral lists this transfer RNA (72 nucleotides) under Bos taurus (domestic cattle). It matches the Rfam family "tRNA". From Rfam's summary of the family: Transfer RNA (tRNA) molecules are approximately 80 nucleotides in length. Their secondary structure includes four short double-helical elements and three loops (D, anti-codon, and T loops). Further hydrogen bonds mediate the characteristic L-shaped molecular structure. tRNAs have two regions of fundamental functional importance: the anti-codon, which is responsible for specific mRNA codon recognition, and the 3' end, to which the tRNAs corresponding amino acid is attached (by aminoacyl-tRNA synthetases). tRNAs cope with the degeneracy of the genetic code in two manners: having more than one tRNA (with a specific anti-codon) for a particular amino acid; and 'wobble' base-pairing, i.e. permitting non-standard base-pairing at the 3rd anti-codon position. The record is from Rfam by way of RNAcentral. RNAcentral also lists the same sequence under 6 other names. Lineage: Eukaryota; Metazoa; Chordata; Mammalia; Artiodactyla; Bovidae.